AAAGGUGUGCCGCAGCAAUGCGGUCUCAGCAAAGAGUCCCUCCCGACUGUUUACCAAAAACACAGCACUUUGCCAACUCGUAAGAGGAAGUAUAAGGUGUGACGCCUGCCCGGUGCUCGAAGGUUAAGAGGAUGCGUCAGUCGCAAGAUGAAGCGUUGAAUUGAAGCCCGAGUAAACGGCGGCCGUAACUAUAACGGUCCUAAGGUAGCGAAAUUCCUUGUCGGUUAAAUACCGACCUGCAUGAAUGGCGUAACGAGAUGGGAGCUGUCUCAACCAGAGAUUCAGUGAAAUUGUAGUGGAGGUGAAAAUUCCUCCUACCCGCGGCAAGACGGAAAGACCCCGUGGACCUUUACUACAACUUAGCACUGCUAAUGGGAAUACAUGCGCAGGAUAGGUGGGAGGCUUUGAAGUAAGGGCUUUGGCUCUUAUGGAGCCAUCCUUGAGAUACCACCCUUGAUGUUUCUGUUAGCUAACUGGCCUGUGUUAUCCACAGGCAGGACAAUGCUUGGUGGGUAGUU
This 518-nucleotide ribosomal RNA is filed under the name Helicobacter pylori. RNAcentral describes it as "partial 23S ribosomal RNA". It matches the Rfam family "Bacterial large subunit ribosomal RNA", at positions 1742 to 2270 of the family's 2925-position model. The record is from RNAcentral. Lineage: Bacteria; Pseudomonadati; Campylobacterota; Epsilonproteobacteria; Campylobacterales; Helicobacteraceae.